GAUAGUCAAAUAAUUGCCUUUUUUCAAAUAAUGUCCAAUCGGAAUUAAAUUGGUCCAAUUUUAAAUUGUUUGACGUGCUGAAUUCAUUGAUAGCUUUGCAUCAUCAAUCCUACAGCUAGAUCAUCUAGAAAACGCCCUAGAAUUAAGCUACUGCUUACCCAUUUAUUACUUAAGUUUUCCAGCAGCUGUGGAGGUUGCUACUAGUCAAAGAAGGAUGUCUCCAUGGUGCUAAGUCCAGCGCCGUCAAAGGGAGACCAUAUAGGCAUUGAUGGUGGCUAGACUCGUUCUUGGGAACUCGUGCUGUGUGGAUCUCUCUUCCUUUGGCUUCGCUUCAUUUCACAAUCCCAAAUGGUUGCUGGUCAUUGUUGCUCGUCAAGAAAGGAAGGUGCUAAUUAGCCGGAGUCUAGUAGGUGGCUUCUUGGGCUGGUUUCUUCGCCGGCCGGGGUAGAGCAAAAUGGGCGAGCCUGGUCUUCCAGAAAGAGCUAUACAUGGGGAAGGAGUAUAUAUUUUACUUACAAACUUAGUUUAAGUCCAAUUUAAUUAGCAGUGAUGCUAAUGACAAUUAGACUAAUUUUAAUUAAAUUUAACUGCAAUAUUAUUUAUUUUUUAUUUAGUCAUUUACUUAUUUUAGUAAUCUUCACUCGUCGAGAAUCUUAAUAUUUCGUUUCCAAACUAAUAUGGGUGUUACACAAACAAUUGAUUAAUUGUGAGUCUUUCAAUUGUAUCAUUUAUUUUUAUUCUAAGAUUGAGAGUAAGAGUUGUUGAAAGAGAACCGUAAAACACUGUUCUUGACUUUCUCUUUUGAGUAAGGUUUUUUUU
RNAcentral lists this unclassified non-coding RNA (819 nucleotides) under Hevea brasiliensis (rubber tree). Lineage: Eukaryota; Viridiplantae; Streptophyta; Magnoliopsida; Malpighiales; Euphorbiaceae. The record is from RNAcentral.